UACGGGGGGGGCAAGCGUUGUUCGGAAUUACUGGGCGUAAAGGGCUCGUAGGCGGCCAACUAAGUCCGACGUGAAAUCCCCAGGCUUAACCUGGGAACUGCGUCGGAUACCGGAUGGCUUGAAUUCGGGAGAGGGAUGCAGAAUUCCAGGUGUAGCGGUGAAAUGCGUAGAUAUCUGGAGGAAUACCGGUGGCGAAGGCGGCAUCCUGGACCGACAUUGACGCUGAGGAGCGAAAGCUAGGGGGGCAAACGGG
RNAcentral lists this ribosomal RNA (253 nucleotides) under uncultured bacterium. Its description in RNAcentral is "partial 16S ribosomal RNA". It matches the Rfam family "Bacterial small subunit ribosomal RNA", at positions 524 to 776 of the family's 1533-position model. The record is from RNAcentral.